This 253-nucleotide ribosomal RNA is filed under the name uncultured bacterium. RNAcentral's name for it is "partial 16S ribosomal RNA". It matches the Rfam family "Bacterial small subunit ribosomal RNA", at positions 524 to 776 of the family's 1533-position model. The record is from RNAcentral.
UACAGAGGGGGCCAGCGUUAUUCGGAAUUAUUGGGCGUAAAGGGCGCGUAGGCGGCUUUGCGUGUCUUUCGUGAAAUCCCUCGGCUCAACUGAGGACGUGCGGAAGAAACUGCAGGGCUGGAGUCCGGGAGAGGAGGGUGGAAUUCCCAGUGUAGCGGUGAAAUGCGUAGAUAUCUGGAGGAAUACCGGUGGCGAAGGCGGCAUCCUGGACCGGCAUUGACGCUGAUGAGCGAAAGCUGGGGGAGCAAACGGG